CCAGAACGCACAGUUUGGGGUAAGGAUGAAGUGGUCGAUGCUCUCCGGAGGGACCAGCUCGGGCUGGCUCUGUGUUGCUGUGAAUAAUUUGCUUUAUGGAACGAGACACCUGAGACUGCCGCGGGAAUCCAGGGCUGGAGCCGGGAAGGAAACCUGGUCUGACCGCGGGAAGGGGAGCGGGGGUCAGGCGGGGCCCCCGUCGGUCACUGGAGCCGCCGCCGUGAAAGCGACGUCCAAGAACAUCCCAAAGGGCCUCCUCACCCUCAUGGACAGCAGGAAUGUCUUCCAUGGCUCCUGCUUGGGAAUGGCAGUGGCUGUUGGGAGCUCUGGCAGGAGCACCUGGAGACCAGGGUGAGGAAGCCAGCCCUGGCGAGGAGGAGGAUGAGGCGGUGUGGGAGGAUGGAGACAGCGGCCACCAAAGGCUGGGGAAGGCCCAGCUCCAGGAAUUUUCCUGGGCAUAUUUGAGAGUAAUUCCAAGAGUUUGGAAAUAGUUGAAAAACAAAGAGAGAUAAUUGUGAAGCCCGCCACAUCCCGGGGAAUGAGCAGAGCUGCAGAGCCGCGGGCAGGAGGAGCUGCUCCAGCAUAGGCACUGUCCUGCUCAUUCAACCCCUGCCAAGUGAGACCUGAUGCUUUCCUCACUCUUCCCCCAAGAUCUGUGCAACUCACAGUCUCCAAUGGCAAAAUCUCUGUUAGUAAAAUUCUAGUUGAAAUGUUUAAUCGGUUUCCAAAUCACGGGAUAUUGUGAGAUAGAAGGAACCCACAAGGAUCAUGAAAUUGAGCUCUAAGUGAAUGCUCCAUCCAGUAACUGAACUCACAACCUUUGGUGUUUUCAGCACUCUGCUCAAAACAGCUGAGCUGGUCUCUGUCGUCUGGAAUUCUAGGCUG
Long non-coding RNA from Melospiza melodia melodia, 885 nucleotides. RefSeq lists it as uncharacterized. The record is from RefSeq and is a predicted model, not a curated record. The transcript is spliced from 4 exons. Lineage: Eukaryota; Metazoa; Chordata; Aves; Passeriformes; Passerellidae.